GGGUUGUGAGGUUAAGCGACUAAGCGUACACGGUGGAUGCCCUGGCAGUCAGAGGCGAUGAAGGACGUGCUAAUCUGCGAUAAGCGUCGGUAAGGUGAUAUGAACCGUUAUAACCGGCGAUUUCCGAAUGGGGAAACCCAGUGUGAUUCGUCACACUAUCAUUAACUGAAUCCAUAGGUUAAUGAGGCGAACCGGGGGAACUGAAACAUCUAAGUACCCCGAGGAAAAGAAAUCAACCGAGAUUCCCCCAGUAGCGGCGAGCGAACGGGGAGCAGCCCAGAGCCUGAAUCAGUGUGUGUGUUAGUGGAAGCGUCUGGAAAGGCGCGCGAUACAGGGUGACAGCCCCGUACACAAAAAUGCACAUACUGUGAGCUCGAUGAGUAGGGCGGGACACGUGGUAUCCUGUCUGAAUAUGGGGGGACCAUCCUCCAAGGCUAAAUACUCCUGACUGACCGAUAGUGAACCAGUACCGUGAGGGAAAGGCGAAAAGAACCCCGGCGAGGGGAGUGAAAAAGAACCUGAAACCGUGUACGUACAAGCAGUGGGAGCACAGAGCAAUCUGUGUGACUGCGUACCUUUUGUAUAAUGGGUCAGCGACUUAUAUUCUGUAGCAAGGUUAACCGAAUAGGGGAGCCGAAGGGAAACCGAGUCUUAACUGGGCGUUAAGUUGCAGGGUAUAGACCCGAAACCCGGUGAUCUAGCCAUGGGCAGGUUGAAGGUUGGGUAACACUAACUGGAGGACCGAACCGACUAAUGUUGAAAAAUUAGCGGAUGACUUGUGGCUGGGGGUGAAAGGCCAAUCAAACCGGGAGAUAGCUGGUUCUCCCCGAAAGCUAUUUAGGUAGCGCCUCGUGAAUUCAUCUCCGGGGGUAGAGCACUGUUUCGGCAAGGGGGUCAUCCCGACUUACCAACCCGAUGCAAACUGCGAAUACCGGAGAAUGUUAUCACGGGAGACACACGGCGGGUGCUAACGUCCGUCGUGAAGAGGGAAACAACCCAGACCGCCAGCUAAGGUCCCAAAGUCAUGGUUAAGUGGGAAACGAUGUGGGAAGGCCCAGACAGCCAGGAUGUUGGCUUAGAAGCAGCCAUCAUUUAAAGAAAGCGUAAUAGCUCACUGGUCGAGUCGGCCUGCGCGGAAGAUGUAACGGGGCUAAACCAUGCACCGAAGCUGCGGCAGCGACGCUUAUGCGUUGUUGGGUAGGGGAGCGUUCUGUAAGCCUGUGAAGGUGUGCUGUGAGGCAUGCUGGAGGUAUCAGAAGUGCGAAUGCUGACAUAAGUAACGAUAAAGCGGGUGAAAAGCCCGCUCGCCGGAAGACCAAGGGUUCCUGUCCAACGUUAAUCGGGGCAGGGUGAGUCGACCCCUAAGGCGAGGCCGAAAGGCGUAGUCGAUGGGAAACAGGUUAAUAUUCCUGUACUUGGUGUUACUGCGAAGGGGGGACGGAGAAGGCUAUGUUGGCCGGGCGACGGUUGUCCCGGUUUAAGCGUGUAGGCUGGUUUUCCAGGCAAAUCCGGAAAAUCAAGGCUGAGGCGUGAUGACGAGGCACUACGGUGCUGAAGCAACAAAUGCCCUGCUUCCAGGAAAAGCCUCUAAGCAUCAGGUAACAUCAAAUCGUACCCCAAACCGACACAGGUGGUCAGGUAGAGAAUACCAAGGCGCUUGAGAGAACUCGGGUGAAGGAACUAGGCAAAAUGGUGCCGUAACUUCGGGAGAAGGCACGCUGAUAUGUAGGUGAAGUCCCUCGCGGAUGGAGCUGAAAUCAGUCGAAGAUACCAGCUGGCUGCAACUGUUUAUUAAAAACACAGCACUGUGCAAACACGAAAGUGGACGUAUACGGUGUGACGCCUGCCCGGUGCCGGAAGGUUAAUUGAUGGGGUCAGCGCAAGCGAAGCUCUUGAUCGAAGCCCCGGUAAACGGCGGCCGUAACUAUAACGGUCCUAAGGUAGCGAAAUUCCUUGUCGGGUAAGUUCCGACCUGCACGAAUGGCGUAAUGAUGGCCAGGCUGUCUCCACCCGAGACUCAGUGAAAUUGAACUCGCUGUGAAGAUGCAGUGUACCCGCGGCAAGACGGAAAGACCCCGUGAACCUUUACUAUAGCUUGACACUGAACAUUGAGCCUUGAUGUGUAGGAUAGGUGGGAGGCUUUGAAGUGUGGACGCCAGUCUGCAUGGAGCCGACCUUGAAAUACCACCCUUUAAUGUUUGAUGUUCUAACGUUGACCCGUAAUCCGGGUUGCGGACAGUGUCUGGUGGGUAGUUUGACUGGGGCGGUCUCCUCCUAAAGAGUAACGGAGGAGCACGAAGGUUGGCUAAUCCUGGUCGGACAUCAGGAGGUUAGUGCAAUGGCAUAAGCCAGCUUGACUGCGAGCGUGACGGCGCGAGCAGGUGCGAAAGCAGGUCAUAGUGAUCCGGUGGUUCUGAAUGGAAGGGCCAUCGCUCAACGGAUAAAAGGUACUCCGGGGAUAACAGGCUGAUACCGCCCAAGAGUUCAUAUCGACGGCGGUGUUUGGCACCUCGAUGUCGGCUCAUCACAUCCUGGGGCUGAAGUAGGUCCCAAGGGUAUGGCUGUUCGCCAUUUAAAGUGGUACGCGAGCUGGGUUUAGAACGUCGUGAGACAGUUCGGUCCCUAUCUGCAGUGGGCGCUGGACACCUGAGGGGGGCUGCUCCUCGUACGAGAGGACCGGAGUGGACGC
This 2689-nucleotide ribosomal RNA is filed under the name Escherichia coli. Its description in RNAcentral is "bacterial LSU rRNA". It matches the Rfam family "Bacterial large subunit ribosomal RNA". The record is from RNAcentral. Lineage: Bacteria; Pseudomonadati; Pseudomonadota; Gammaproteobacteria; Enterobacterales; Enterobacteriaceae.